Hippocampus zosterae (dwarf seahorse) is the source of this 3277-nucleotide long non-coding RNA. RefSeq lists it as uncharacterized. The record is from RefSeq and is a predicted model, not a curated record. Lineage: Eukaryota; Metazoa; Chordata; Actinopteri; Syngnathiformes; Syngnathidae. The transcript is spliced from 2 exons.
CUGUGCCUAAAAGCAUAUCAUCAAUUCUUUACUAGCUCACAGAAAAUAUAGACCAGUUGUCCUUUAAUAACUAACUCGAACAAAUCGGAUUACGAACAAAAUGUUCAGAAAAAUAAUUGCUUCGGAACACAAACUAGGGUUCCGUUUUUUUCAAAAUCAAGGUAUCCACAUGGAGUCUCUUACACGCGGUGUACGUUGUUAUUUCCGUGUUUAACGUUUUUCACAUUCGUGUUUUUGCUCCAACUUAGCCCUCAGUAUGGCUUGACAACUUGGUUCUUAAAUGUAAUUCAGUUCAUUUUAAGGGGAAAAAAAAUACUUCAUUAUUUUUCACAAACAGAGUCUCGGAAUAAAUUGAUUAAUGAACCGAGGUUUCACAGUUCAUGACUUUCCGUCCGAUUGCUCAAACUUUACAUUUUAAUAAUUUUGUAAAUAGAUAUGUCUUGGUCUUCAGUCAUGAGUUUAACCCUUUUAUGGGGAGCGGUUACUACAGUGGACAGCUUAUCAUGUUAUCAGGUCACAGGGUGCAUGAAAGGAUUACAUCAUCCAUCCAUUCUCUUCCGCUUAUCUGGGGAUGGGUUGCGGGGGCAGCAGCGUUAGUAGGAAAAUCCAGAAUUCCCUUUCCCCGCCGACAAUGUCCAUCUCUUUCCGGGAGGAUCCUAGUCUAGCUGAGAGACACCUCUCCGGCGUAUCCCGGGCGCUUCUUUCCAAGGACCUUCCGUCCUCCCAGCGAAACAUGCCCGAACAAUUCACCAGGGAGGUGUCCAGAAAGCAUCCUAACAAGUUUCCCUAGCCACCUCAUCUGGCUCCUCUCGAUGCAGAAGAGCAACAACUCAACGUUGAGUCCCUCUUGGAUGACUGAGCUUCUCAUACUAGCUUCAAAAGAGAGGAAUCUCAUUUCGGACGUUUGUAUCUAACAACUUUGUUGUUCGGGCACGACUCACCACCGACCGCUCGUGAUCACAGGUGAAGGUAGGAGCAUGUUAACCAAAGUGCUCUAUAAAUACAGUUGAGUUGAGUUGACAGUUGAGUAAAUCGAGAGCUUUUGGCUCAGCUCCUUUGUCAAAACGACAGAGCAACGCAAACUUUAUAUCGCUGCAGACACUGAACCAAUCAACCUGUCGAUCUCGCCUCCUCCCUUUCUUUCCUUACUCGUUAAGAAGACCCCAAGAAAUGUGAACCCCUCCACUUUAGGAAUGAUGAAGUGUUUGCUGUAAAUCAGUUGAAGUAAAAUCACACACAGUCAUUGUUCACUGGAGCCAUAUCCUGGACUCCACUGUAUCCGAUAUUGCGCAAAGAAGAGGAGGAAGAGGUGAGAAGAGAAGCGAGAAUGUUGAGACGAAUGAAAAUGUGAAAUUACAUCUGUUUGUUGCUUUGUGUAACUCUUGGGUGAGAAGAGAACAAACUUGUGUGGGCGUGCGCAGGUGGAUGCGUUCGUGUUGCCAAAAGCCAUUUAGAUUAGUUGUAUAAUGUGCAUUGGAUGCGAGAAUGUGGGCCAGUGUUUCUUUGUCGAAUGAAGUCUUCAACGAGUCAUUCAGUCAGCCAUAAAUGUUUUCUUUUGUCUCAGAGUGACGGCAUAGCAUCUAUUUGCAUGAGGAUCGAUAGAUAGAUAAAUGAAUAUCAAGGUAGUUAUUGAUUUACUACAAUAAAAUGUUAUUGAUUUACUUUGUAAAUCAAUAACAUUUUGAAUUAAAGUUGAAUUCCUCAUCCAGCUUCAUUGUAGGUUUGCAAAAGCUGAUGUAGAGCUGAAAGAUGGAGAGUUAGGUUAAAUUUAGCUUCAUGUCUGAGCGGUGGGGAGGAGGGCUGUAGAGUGGUCUGCUCUGUCUAGCCAUAGCAACAGCUGUGACACACUUUGCACUGAUUGACGUUUACAGAUUUCUGGCUAAGUUGCCAGCGAAAGGAAUGCAUACAUUCUAAUGCAGGUUUCCAGCUGGGGCACAGCUGGAACCAAAUAAAGCUCACAGCAUGAUAGUGUUUGUCAAAACUAACUGUCUUGUUUGGCAUGUCUCCCUUGUGAGAUACCUCUACCACCAUAAAAUGACUCUUGACAAAAAUGAAAAUGAAUAUGUAUGCUGCUUUGUAACCACUAUGAGUCUUGAAUGCUCAAAGACCGGCACUUUCAUUCAUUUUCCAGAUUUACAGAGUGUGUAUUUGCACAGUUUGAUUGAAUUAGGAAUGCACAGAAAUGGAUUUUCAAGACCUGGAGCUAUAUACUGAAUGUAUUGAUUGUAUUUGGUUUUUCUUUGUGGACCAAAUCAUACAAUUUGACUGUGUGACAGAUCUGGAGAAUGCUUGUGAAUGCAGUUGACAUCAGGUUUCAUUUUGGCAAACUAAUGUCAACGUAAUGACUUUAAGCUAUAUGUUUUCUACCCUCUCAAAAUGUAUCGGAGUUCAUGGCGGGGUGCUGUCAGAGUGAGUGGAAAUUCUGGUAAAGAGACUCGAAGAUCAAAGCAUGUAAAAAAUGCUUUUUAAAGGACUGCAAGCAGACCCCCACUAUUGGGUGAUGUCAACUUACCGUGGGUGUUCACAGAUCGCUGUUGUGAAGGGGUCACUUGGAGGACCACCUUCCACCUCGAUAGAUUGUGUCGUAAUAGCCGUGCCGCAACCCGGGGUGAUCUGGCGUCCACACGCCAUGUGGGACCUGGCGUCCACAUGUGUGGACAUGACGUCUUUGGUUUUCAAGACUGUUAAAUUUUGGACUAUAAGGGCCUGGCGUCCACUUACGAGGACGUUUCAUCAAGUAAAAAGAUCAUUCUUUGUUUUUACACUCAUCAGGUCCCAAUUAGCCUAAAUAUCAAAGAGAAAAGAAAAAUAAAAUAGAAAUGCAUGCCUUGCAAGACUUCGGGUCUUAUUUAAUAUAGGUGAUGAUGAUAAUGAUUAUGCAUUCAUUUAACUUAUUACAACAAUGAUUCAGAUGGUUUGAUGUGCACUGUCAUAUUUAUUAAUGAAAUACGAUGACAUCGACAACACAUAUCAGCAGAGUGUAGAAUCCGUCUGCCUGCGCCUAGAUCAGUGGUUCUUAACCUGGGUUCGAUCAAACCCCAGGGGUUCGGUGAGUCGGUCUCAGGGGUUCGACGGAGACUCUGCCAUGGAGGUUAAGACACACCUGACUCAACAUGUCAUUUAAUUACGACACGCCUGCUUGGCCAUCGCUGGCUGCACAUGAUCACAUUACGUUGCUUAUCCAAUCAGUGCUGCGGGAAAUUUAGUUUGCUCAAUCGUCAACGUGUGAGUGUCGUGACUUUUUUUGUUUUGUUUUUUUAAAUGUUUUAACACAUGC